Madurella mycetomatis is the source of this 85-nucleotide transfer RNA. It matches the Rfam family "tRNA". Rfam says of the family: Transfer RNA (tRNA) molecules are approximately 80 nucleotides in length. Their secondary structure includes four short double-helical elements and three loops (D, anti-codon, and T loops). The record is from Rfam. Lineage: Eukaryota; Fungi; Ascomycota; Sordariomycetes; Sordariales.
GGGCGUGUAGCUCAUUUGGUAGAGCGCUCGCUUAGCAUACUCUAGUGUAUGCGAGAGGUACUGGGUUCGAUUCCCAGCUCGUCCA